CCCCUGUAGUACCUCUUACCUCACCCCGGUUCCAAGUCUGGCAGUAUCCACCGAUAGACUACCAGUUAAGCUGGCAGAUUUCCCGGAAGACUGACCAAACAGGCUACGGACCCUUUAGACCCAAUAAUAACGAUCACCACUCGGGCCGCCGGUGUUACCGCGGCGGCUGGCACCGGUCUUGCCCGGCCCUUGCUAACAGGUGCAAGUUAAGCACCUGGACAGCCAGCAAUUCUUGCUAGCACUCGGUGUCCCCUUAUCACGGUGACCCGCAUUGUAAAGAUUUCGCGCCUGCUGCGCCCCGUAGGGCCUGGAUUAUUGUCUCAGAAUCCAUCUCCGGGCUCUUGCUCUCACAACCCGUACCCGUCGUAGGCUAGCAGGUACAUUACACCCGCUACUACCUGAUAGGCCGCAGACCCAUCCUUGGGCGGAAAAAAACCGUUUAAAACGUAAAGCAUUCCAGCAGAUACGGAGUAUCCGAUAUUAUCCCCAGUUUCCCGGGGUUAUGCCGGUCCCAAGGGCAGGUUAUCCACGUGUUACUGAGCAAUAUGCCAUGUUCACGAAGAACAUAUGACUCGCAUGGCUUAGACGAACACCGAUAGCAGUGACCUCUGGCAGGAUCAACCGGA
This 626-nucleotide ribosomal RNA is filed under the name unidentified archaeon. Its description in RNAcentral is "partial 16S ribosomal RNA". The record is from RNAcentral.